This 700-nucleotide ribosomal RNA is filed under the name uncultured Actinomycetes bacterium. Its description in RNAcentral is "bacterial SSU rRNA". It matches the Rfam family "Bacterial small subunit ribosomal RNA", at positions 65 to 783 of the family's 1533-position model. The record is from RNAcentral. Lineage: Bacteria; Bacillati; Actinomycetota; Actinomycetes.
AGCGAGAACCAGGGCUUGCCCUGGGGAGAGCGGCGAACGGGUGCGUAUCACGUGAGCAACCUGCCUCAGAGACCGGGAUAACUCGAGGAAACUCGGGCUAAUACCGGAUGCCCUCGGUGGACCGCAUGGUCCGGCGAGGAAAUGGAUUCCGCUCUGAGAUGGGCUCGCGGCCUAUCAGCUUGUUGGUGGGGUAACGGCCUACCAAGGCAACGACGGGUAGCUGGUCUGAGAGGACGAUCAGCCACACUGGGACUGAGACACGGCCCAGACUCCUACGGGAGGCAGCAGUAGGGAAUCUUGCGCAAUGGGCGAAAGCCUGACGCAGCGACGCCGCGUGCGGGAUGAAGGCCUUCGGGUCGUAAACCGCUUUCAGCAGGGACGAAAUUGACGGUACCUGCAGAAGAGGGCCCGGCCAACUACGUGCCAGCAGCCGCGGUGAUACGUAGGGGUCUAGCGUUGUCCGGAAUCAUUGGGCGUAAAGAGCUCGUAGGCGGUUCGAUUAGUCGGGUGUGAAAUCUCCACGCUCAACGUGGAGGGGCCACUCGAUACUGUCGUGACUCGAGUCCGGUAGGGGAGUUCGGAAUUCCCGGUGUAGCGGUGAAAUGCGCAGAUAUCGGGAGGAACACCAGUGGCGAAGGCGGAACUCUGGGCCGGAACUGACGCUGAGGAGCGAAAGCGUGGGGAGCGAACAGGAUUAGAU